This 78-nucleotide transfer RNA is filed under the name Candidatus Falkowiibacteriota bacterium. RNAcentral describes it as "tRNA-Met". It matches the Rfam family "tRNA". From Rfam's summary of the family: Transfer RNA (tRNA) molecules are approximately 80 nucleotides in length. Their secondary structure includes four short double-helical elements and three loops (D, anti-codon, and T loops). Further hydrogen bonds mediate the characteristic L-shaped molecular structure. tRNAs have two regions of fundamental functional importance: the anti-codon, which is responsible for specific mRNA codon recognition, and the 3' end, to which the tRNAs corresponding amino acid is attached (by aminoacyl-tRNA synthetases). tRNAs cope with the degeneracy of the genetic code in two manners: having more than one tRNA (with a specific anti-codon) for a particular amino acid; and 'wobble' base-pairing, i.e. permitting non-standard base-pairing at the 3rd anti-codon position. The record is from RNAcentral. Lineage: Bacteria; Candidatus Falkowiibacteriota.
GGCAGGGUAGCUCAGUCUGGUUAGAGCGUAGGAAUCAUAACCCUAAGGUCGUGGGUUCGAUCCCCACCCCUGCUACCA